This 930-nucleotide ribosomal RNA is filed under the name uncultured bacterium. RNAcentral describes it as "bacterial SSU rRNA". It matches the Rfam family "Bacterial small subunit ribosomal RNA", at positions 8 to 948 of the family's 1533-position model. The record is from RNAcentral.
AGAGUUUGAUCCUGGCUCAGGAUGAACGCUGGCGGCGUGCUUAACACAUGCAAGUCGAACGGUGAAAGAGGAGCUUGCUCCUCUGGAUCAGUGGCGAACGGGUGAGUAACACGUGAGUAACCUGCCCCAGACUCUGGGAUAAGCACUGGAAACGGUGUCUAAUACCGGAUACGAGCUUCAGCCGCAUGGCUAGGAGCUGGAAAGAAUUUCGGUCUGGGAUGGACUCGCGGCCUAUCAGCUAGUUGGUGAGGUAACGGCCCACCAAGGCGACGACGGGUAGCCGGCCUGAGAGGGUGACCGGCCACACUGGGACUGAGACACGGCCCAGACUCCUACGGGAGGCAGCAGUGGGGAAUAUUGCACAAUGGGCGCAAGCCUGAUGCAGCAACGCCGCGUGAGGGACGACGGCCUUCGGGUUGUAAACCUCUUUUAGUAGGGAAGAAGCGAAAGUGACGGUACCUGCAGAAAAAGCACCGGCUAACUACGUGCCAGCAGCCGCGGUAAUACGUAGGGUGCAAGCGUUAUCCGGAAUUAUUGGGCGUAAAGAGCUCGUAGGCGGUUUGUCACGUCUGCUGUGAAAACUGGAGGCUCAACCUCCAGCCUGCAGUGGGUACGGGCAGACUAGAGUGCGGUAGGGGAGAUUGGAAUUCCUGGUGUAGCGGUGGAAUGCGCAGAUAUCAGGAGGAACACCGAUGGCGAAGGCAGAUCUCUGGGCCGUAACUGACGCUGAGGAGCGAAAGCAUGGGGAGCGAACAGGAUUAGAUACCCUGGUAGUCCAUGCCGUAAACGUUGGGGACUAGAUGUAGGGACCAUUCCACGGUUUCUGUGUCGCAGCUAACGCAUUAAGUUCCCCGCCUGGGGAGUACGGCCGCAAGGCUAAACUCAAAGGAAUUGACGGGGGCCCGCACAAGCGGCGGAGCAUGCGGAUUA